Molecule: unclassified non-coding RNA, 325 nt
Filed under: fungal sp.
Lineage: Eukaryota; Fungi
Description: partial internal transcribed spacer region
Rfam family: Eukaryotic small subunit ribosomal RNA (bases 1-45)
Source: RNAcentral
AGUCGUAACAAGGUAACCGUAGGUGAACCUGCGGUUGGAUCAUUAACAAUAUGUUGGGUUGCUUUUUGUUGAGCGCCCGCUUAUUAUCAGUGCUGAUUUAAAGGGGUUAAAGCCUUUAAAUGAGUACUGGACCACACCAUUGUGAACUGUUAACCAACUCAGUAUUGGGUUAAACCCUUACUAUUGUUCUCGACACUCUUUACUGAGUGAAGGGCCUUUAGUGAGAUUAACCCUUUACAAUUAUAAAACAAACUGACCAAACCAAGUUUAAAAAACAAUUAAAGUUAAUGAAAAACAACUUUUGACAACGGAUCUCUUGGCUCUU